AUGGCUUUGGGCCGCUGGUUCUUCUGGGCCCUGUGGCUACCGCUGAUACUCGUGGUCACCGCGGCUAGGGAACAGAGAGAAGGCUGCUCGGACUCGGCCAAGAGAUGCGGCAACAUGAGCAUCUCCGGCCCAUUCUGGCUCAGGGAUAACGUGGCGGAUUCCUCAGAUUUGGAGGUCAUUUGCUUUAACAACACCACUCCAGUUUUACGGAGCUCCAGUUUAACAACACCACUCAUGUGGUUCCUCAGGUGUGUACACGAUUGGAGGCUACGGCGAGGGAUACUUUUACCCAACAUGGGUGGCAGCAUGAUCUAA
RNAcentral lists this ribosomal RNA (315 nucleotides) under Triticum aestivum (bread wheat). RNAcentral's name for it is "partial small subunit ribosomal RNA". The record is from RNAcentral. Lineage: Eukaryota; Viridiplantae; Streptophyta; Magnoliopsida; Poales; Poaceae.